AUCAAGGUGAUCUGAAGUCUAAACCCAACACUGAGGGAAAGCAGGUUUCCUCUAACAGGACAUCAAGGUGAUCUGAAGUCUAAACCCAACACUGAGGGAAGAAUAGUUUCCUAUAACAGGACAUCAAGGUGAUCUGAAGUCUAAACCCAACACUGAGGGAAGGCUGGUUUCCUCUAACAGGACAUCAAGGUGAUCUGAAGUCUAAACCCAACACUGAGGGAAGAAUAGUUUCCUCUAACAGGACAUCAAGGUGAUCUGAAGUCUAAACCCAACACUGAGGGAAGAAUAGUUUCCUAUAACAGGACAUCAAGGUGAUCUGAAGUCUAAACCCAACACUGAGGGAAGGCUGGUUUCCUCUAACAGGACAUCAAGGUGAUCUGAAGUCUAAACCCAACACUG
Long non-coding RNA from Oncorhynchus keta (chum salmon), 399 nucleotides. RefSeq lists it as uncharacterized. The record is from RefSeq and is a predicted model, not a curated record. Lineage: Eukaryota; Metazoa; Chordata; Actinopteri; Salmoniformes; Salmonidae. The transcript has 3 exons.